RNAcentral lists this ribosomal RNA (245 nucleotides) under uncultured Burkholderia sp. Its description in RNAcentral is "partial 16S ribosomal RNA". It matches the Rfam family "Bacterial small subunit ribosomal RNA", at positions 524 to 768 of the family's 1533-position model. The record is from RNAcentral. Lineage: Bacteria; Pseudomonadati; Pseudomonadota; Betaproteobacteria; Burkholderiales; Burkholderiaceae.
UACGUAGGGUGCGAGCGUUAAUCGGAAUUACUGGGCGUAAAGCGUGCGCAGGCGGUUCGUUAAGACAGAUGUGAAAUCCCCGGGCUUAACCUGGGAACUGCAUUUGUGACUGGCGAGCUAGAGUAUGGCAGAGGGGGGUAGAAUUCCUGGUGUAGCAGUGAAAUGCGUAGAUAUCAGGAGGAAUACCGAUGGCGAAGGCAGCCCCCUGGGUCGAUACUGACGCUCAUGCACGAAAGCGUGGGGAG